UGAAUGGUAGUCCUAAAGGCAGUGUGAGAGCACAGAUUUGGUCUGUCUUCAGUUGCCAUGAAGACAGGGAAUGCCGCACUAUGAAGCUGUCUGACAUGGAGAACCCUAGAUGAAAAUUCACAGAUAAUAUAAAAAGACAAUGACUCUAUGCCAAAGAGUUUAUACAAUACAAGGACUAGGACCUGCGACCCUUACCUACAGUGGUACUCACAUGGUCAGCAAUUAGAGGGGGAAAGCACUUAUUCUUCCUCAUGCUAAAUCCAGUCGCUCCCCACAGCAAUCAUGUAAAUCUUGGCAUCCGUCACACAGAAGAAUGAAAAGUCAAAUCAACAGGAAUCUUUCACAUGAAAGCAACAGGCAGCC
Molecule: long non-coding RNA, 363 nt
Organism: Mauremys reevesii (Reeves's turtle)
Lineage: Eukaryota; Metazoa; Chordata; Testudines; Geoemydidae
Exons: 3
Source: RefSeq, a predicted model, not a curated record